GAUGAACGCUGGCGGCGUGCCUAAUACAUGCAAGUCGAGCGAACGGACGAUAAGCUUGCUUUUCUGAUGUUAGCGGCGGGCGGGUGAGUAACACGUGGAUCACCUACCUAUAUUACUGGGAUAACUUCGGAAAACCGGCUCUAAUACCAUCUAAUAUUUUGAACCGCAUGGUGCAAAGGUAAAUCACGGCUUUGCUGUUUCUAUUAGCUGAUUCCGCGCUGGAUUAGCUAGUUGUUACGGUAACGGCUUACCAAGGCGACGAUGCAUAGCCGACCUGAGAGGGUGAUCGGCCACACUGGAGCUGAGACACGGUCCAGACUCCUACGGGAGGCAGCAGUAGGGAAUCUUAGGCAAUGGGCGAAAGCCUGACGGAGCAACGCCGCGUGAGUGAUGAAGGUCUUCGGAUCGUAAAACUCUGUUAUUAGGGAAGAACAGAUGUGGAAGUAAAUGUGCACAUCUUGACGGUACCUAAUCAGAAAGCAACGGCUAACUACGUG
RNAcentral lists this ribosomal RNA (497 nucleotides) under uncultured bacterium. Its description in RNAcentral is "partial 16S ribosomal RNA". It matches the Rfam family "Bacterial small subunit ribosomal RNA", at positions 28 to 507 of the family's 1533-position model. The record is from RNAcentral.